GCUCGAUGAUGAUGCCUUUGGUCCUGAGCAAACUGUAGUUGGUACUUCAUUUGCAUGGCUGAUGGAAGCCUUUUUCAAGACGGGGCUGAGAGCAGC
This 96-nucleotide small nucleolar RNA is filed under the name Paramormyrops kingsleyae. Its description in RNAcentral is "Small nucleolar RNA SNORD21 (ENSPKIG00000004951.1)". The record is from RNAcentral. Lineage: Eukaryota; Metazoa; Chordata; Actinopteri; Osteoglossiformes; Mormyridae.